UUUACUGGGAACAGCCUAUAUUCUGCGACGAUAUCUAUAACAAUUGACAAUAAAAUUCUGGCAUCCCAGGUCCUUGGGAAGGACUCGAUGUCUGGAUAAAACAAACCAGUCAAUAACACCUGUCUGACUGUGUAAACAAGAAAUAAUAAUAAUAAUAAAUACAUAAUAAUAAAAUUUUAAUAACUGAAGGGUUUGUCUAAUUAGAUUGGGCUCAGUCCUGAUACCUACCAAAACCCUACUCCAGAUUAACAUUCACUCACUCACUUAGAGCACCUUAGAGGCACAAAUCUCAAAAUGAAAGGGAGCUUUUCUGUUUCACUGGCCUCCAAUGGCUAUUGAGGUAGGCAGCCUCGGAACGUUGGGCCUUGGGAGUUCCUCGGCAGUUGUCCAACUGCUGUCCUGGGUCUUUGCCUUGUCUGCUGUCUCAGGUACAAAGUCUUCAAUGUGACCCUCCAUUCCAUUGCUGGCCAGUUAACUGCCAGGCUCCCUGAAGAUCUCUUUGCUAAGUCAGUGUUUGCUCAGCUGCUAGGCUACCUCAGUGCAGGGGCAAAGGCAAGGUGAGGUGCUCAGAUCGGUGGACUCCUUAACUGAGGGAAAUUGAGAGCGAAGCUGGAGAGGGGAGGAGUUACUACCAAAAACUUGUCUUAAGGAAAGGCUUGUUCUGGAGGCUACGUCCUGCGCACACACAAAAACCCAUAUGUGAACAGACAGAUGACCACUAGAAGAACCUCAGUUACAGAGAAAAGGCAAGGAAAGAACCAGGAAGGCUGUAAGUCCUUUGGUUGAUGACGAGAAACUGAGGGGAAAUCGAAAGCAAGACUGGAGAGGGAAGGAGCUACUGCCAAAAAUCUGUCUGAAGGAAAGGCUUGGAAUGUUCCGGAAGCUGGGUCCCAUGCAUGCACAGAAGCCAUGUGUGUACAACGGAGACCAUGAAGAUCAACUCCUCUUCCUGGAUGACAAACCUCCACAUACAUCACUGGUGCCCCAGUACUUCCAACAGCCACUGCCCAUGAGAGUUCUAAGGGCUGGGGGUUAUUACUAUCUGCAGCAGAAAUGGCAGUAGGACAUCUGGCAGAAUUGGGGAAAGGGAAGAACAGAACCUCCUGAGCUACCAUCGCUUUUGAGGGGAGCAGAGCUACAGUGUUAGAUGUCAAUGUAAAUUUGUCUAAUACAACUGAGAACACUUGACAUUCCAAAGCAGAAAAAUUAAAGAAGAGGCCAAGGUCAUCUGCCUAUAAAGCUGGUUACAUUAAUGUGAACCACUAAGACUGCUAUGAUUGAAAAAUGUUAUACAAAUAUUGAGGCUUUUCUCAUGAGCAGCAGAAACUGGGCUAAGGGAGCCCAGCCUGGUUUCGCUGCUCAUGUGCUGCAAUGGGAGCUGGGCAGCUCCAGAGUGCACGCUCCACUACCCCUGUUUUUUUGGUCAUGUGUUGCCAUGGUGCGGCACUGUGGCGACGCACGAGUAGACCCCCAACAAAGAGGCCACAACAAGCCUCCCGGCAUCGGAGGGGCGGCUCCCCAGAAUGCCCCAUGCACUUGUGUGUGCAUUCUGGGACUUCAGGGGGCCGGGAUGGUCCCGUUCCCUGCCGCCCUAACUGGCUCCAUGAUGGAGCUGUAAUUGUGUGGGUGGCCAAUCCAGCCACCAAGGGCAAGCUUCCUGCUUGUGUGCAAGGAGAGCGGCCCACUCUCCCUGCAAAACCCCAUAUUUAUUUAUUUAUUGUUGCAUUUAUAUACCGCCUUUCGUUAAAAGACAACCCCAAGGCGGUUUACAAAAGUUAAAACAUACAAUAAAAAGACAAUAAAAAUAUUAAGCUAAAAAUAUAAAAACAAACCAAAUUUAAAAUCUAUAAAAUACAAGCAUAAAAAAAAUACAACAGGUAAAAACACACAGAAGCAGCAGUAAAAACGAUUAUGUAAAAGCCUGGAUUAAAAGCCAAGUUUUAACAAGCUUUCUAAAAGCCGUGAUGGAGUCCGAGGAGCGAAUGGUCACUGGGAGAGCAUUCCAAAGUCUGGUGGCAGCAACAGAGAAGGCCCUGUCCUGAGUGCACAACAGCCGGGCCUCCCUCAUUGUUGGCACCCGGAGCAGGGCCCCCUCAGAUGUCCUCGUCAAGCAGGCAGCAACCCUUGGGAGCAGGUGGUCCCUCAAAUACCCCGGGCCCAAACUGUUAAGGAAUUUAAAGGUCAA
Long non-coding RNA from Hemicordylus capensis (graceful crag lizard), 2185 nucleotides. RefSeq lists it as uncharacterized. The transcript is spliced from 4 exons. NCBI's taxonomy places the organism in Eukaryota, Metazoa, Chordata, Lepidosauria, Squamata, Cordylidae. The record is from RefSeq and is a predicted model, not a curated record.